CCUGGCGGCCUUAGCGCGGUGGUCCCACCUGACCCCAUGCCGAACUCAGAAGUGAAACGCCGUAGCGCCGAUGGUAGUGUGGGGUCUCCCCAUGCGAGAGUAGGGAACUACCAGGC
This 116-nucleotide ribosomal RNA is filed under the name Escherichia coli. The record is from RNAcentral. Lineage: Bacteria; Pseudomonadati; Pseudomonadota; Gammaproteobacteria; Enterobacterales; Enterobacteriaceae.